AAGAGCCUCAGCUGCCGCGUGCCUUCUGUCUGCUGUGGGCCCAGCAGCUGCACAGACCCCUCUUGUUGGGAGACAAGACAGGGCUCUUUCUCUCCCGUGACCUCAGCCUCAUCUCCAAUCGUGGGGAAGAGAGAAACUGAAAUUCUUCCUGUGACUGAACACAUGAGAAUGCAACAGUUACUUGGGGUAACAGGUUUCCUGUGGGUCCUGUGUGAAGAGUAUGCAUUCAUUCCAGUGUCGGGGAGGGGAGAAGAAUGAGGAGGAGGCAGUCCCAUGUGGAUGUCAGUGUGAUGAUUAGGAUGCCUGAUGCUUCCGAAACAAGAAUACACUUUACGAAAAUGCCCAUUGAAAAUACUUUUUCCUUUCUACUCUUGUGCUAAGAGUGCCUGUUUGGACCCCAUGGCUUCGUAAUGGGUAUUGUGAAGAUGAAAGCAAAGAUAUGGCAAGAGCUCAGAAGAGUACCUGGCCCAUAAGAAAAUGCCAGUGUUGGAGAAAAUGGGAGAGGAAGCUGGAAAAGCCUGGGGGAGUUAUCAUCAGUGAUACAUGUCUGACCCCAGGUGAAGGAGGGAGGGAGGGAAGGUUGGGUUGAAGUGUCCUAGACUAUAGUAAAGUCCAGGAGAGAUUUGGCAAGGAUCUUGAGGAGUUCUUAAAACAAAGUUAGCUGUCAGAGGACCCCGUAUUAUCAAUGAACAAACUUAUCAUAGUAUUCCCAGCAAUGGGUUUCAGUGAGCAGUAGCUGGGUCCCUUAAUCAAUAAUGCAUCCUGUAGUUGGAAGUCUAUGAGGCAUAAUUUCAAAGGUGCCCCACGGUUUCUAUCCUAGCUCCGCCAUUAAUUGGCUGUUAUUCUAGCAAGUUACUCUGCCUCUCUUUAAACCUCAUCUUCUUCAUUUGUAAAGUGGUAAUGCUAGUAGUACCUUCUCUGUGGUGUGGUUUAAAUAAGAUAAAGAAUGUAUUGUUGUUUUUCUCUGGGGCACCUGGAUCCUGACUGUACCAACUGCUUUCAACUGAUUGGUCUGUGUUCAGGCUGAAGUCCUGGGCUGAAAUUCAUAGAUGUUGUGUUCUAAAAGGAAAUGCUUACUAAUCUCAUUCAUCAGAAAGAAUCUGAAAUAUUUUAUCUUCUGACUUUUGUAUAUACAUCUCUCCUUUUAAAAAUGAAACAAAUAAACUUACAAAGAACAAAGAUAUAAUAGACUGGGAACAAAAUAAACAGCCUCAGGCACAUGUGGCACUAUACCAGAAGAUCUAACAUUUGUGUCAUUGGGGUGCUAGAAGAAGAGGAGAGAGAGUUUGGGGUUGCUAAAGUACCAGACAUAAUAGCUGAAAACUUCCAAAAUUUGACAAAAGAUAUAACCUAUAGAAUCAAGAAACUGGGUUAACCCCAAAUAGGAUAAACCCAAAGAAAUCUAUAUCUAAAGCACAUCAUAAUCAAACUUCCAAAUAUUAAAGACUAGGAAGAAGUCUUGAAAGCAGUGACGGAGAAACAACAAUUUACCUAAGGAAGAAAAACAGCUCAAAUGACAGUGGAGUUCUUAUCAGAAAGCAUGACAGAAGGAAGUGGUACAACAUUUUUCAAGUGCUGAAAGAAAAGAGCUGUCAAUGCAGAAUUCUGUAUCUAGUGAAAAUUUCUUUAGAAAUGAAAGGGAAAUCAAGAUAUUCUCAGAUAAAGGAAAACUAAGAGAAUUUUUUUUUUUUUUUUUACCAGCAGGCCUUCUCUAGAAGAAUGGCAAAAGGAAGUUCUUUAAACAGAAAGGAAAUAAUAAAAUAUGGACCUUCGAAUGUUAGGAAGAAAGAGAAAAUAUGAGAAAUGUUUAUUUAUAAAAUGUGUGCAAUGAGCAAAAAUAUGGUUAAAGACAAUGGAUUGCUUCUUUUCUUGGGUCUUCUAAAUCAUGUUUGAUGGCUGAAGCAAAAAUUAUAACAGCAUCUUAUGUGGUUCUAAAUGUAUACUGAGGAAAUAUUUAAAACAGUUACAUUUUAAGCAGGUAAUGAGGGACAUACAGCUCAGAAAGGAAGAAAUAACACUUCCCCUAUUCCCAGAUGACAUGAUUUCCUGUGUAGAAAAUGCCAUGGAAUCUAAGCAAAUAAACAAACAAACAAAACAAUAAAAGAUCCCACUAGAAUCAAUAAGUGAGUUUAGCAAGUUUGCAGAAUACAAAAAAGCACACAUGAGAAACAUCAGUUGUCUUUCUAUAUGGUAACAGUGAACACAUGAAUACCAAAAUUAAAAAUACAAUACCAUUUACAAUCAACCAAAAAAUAUGUACUUAUGUAUACAGGAAUUAUGUGUUGAAAAAUACAAAAUGCUGAUGAAAGAAAUCAAAGAAGAACUAAUUAGAGAGAGACAUACCAUAUUUAUGCAUUGAAAUAUUGACAUAGUGAAGAUGUCAGUUCUCUUCAAAUUGAUAUACAGGUUUAACGCAAUUCCUAUCAAAAUCCCAGCAAGAGUUUUGUAGAUUGAGACAAGACUAUUUCUAAAAUUUAGAUGAACAAACAUAGGAAUUAAAAUAGCUAAACCAAUUUUGAAAAAGAAGAAUAAAGUGGGAGAAAUCAACUCCCUCAUUUUAAGACUUACUAUAAAGCUACAGUAAUUAAGACUGUACGGUAUUGGCAAAGGGCAAACACAUAGAUCAAUGGAACAGACCAGAGAAUCAAAAAAUAGACCCACAAAAAUAUGCCCGAUUGAUUUUUGACAAAGGUGAAAAAGCAAUUUAGUGAUGGAAAAAUAGCAUUUUCAACAAAUGGUGCUGGAGCAAUUGGGCUUUCAUGAGCAGAAAUAUCUUGACCUAGCUCUCGCACCUUAUGCAAGAAUUAACUCAAAAUAGGUAAUGGACUUAAAUGUAAAACACACAAAAAAGUCAAGUCUUAGACUUGACACCAAAAGCAAAGUCCAUAAUAGAAAAAAAUAGGUAAAUUAGAUUUAACUAGACCUACUCAAAAUUAAGCCUUUUUUUCUGUGAACAACUCUGCUAAGAGGAUGGAAAAACUAACUACAAACUUGAAGAAAAUAGUUGCAAAGCACAUAGCCAACAAAAGAUUAGUAUGUGGAAUAGAUAAACAACUUUCAAAAGUUAACAGUAAAAGACAAACAUCUAAUUAGGAAAUUGACAAAAGAUAUGAAGAGACACCUUACUAAGAAGAUACACAGAUAGAAAUUAAGCACAUGACAAGAUCUUCAACACCAUUAGCCUUUAAAUGAAAUCAAGACCUCAAUGAGAUAUCACAACACACCUAUCUCCUUAUAUGUCACAUGUAAACUCUUAGUCUAAUAGAGAAAUAAAAGUAUGGAACAUUUUAUAAGAUAUAUAGCAUAUGAUAAAAGACAAGUACAUAAGCCAGCACUAAGCCUGUAGUGAGUGUGUACUAUUUGCCAGAUAUCCUAUGUGUUUUAUCUCAGUUUACCCUGACAAUCCCUUGAGGCAGUAAUGUAGAAGAUACAUACUCAAUAUUUUCUGGUUAAAUGAAUAAGUAAUUUCAUCUCUGAAUGGUUGAAUGAGUGGAUGGAUGUUUGGAAUUGGUAAAGGGUAGAACAAUGUAAAACAUUUUAAGACAUAACACAGGCUGGGCAU
RNAcentral lists this long non-coding RNA (3562 nucleotides) under Homo sapiens (human). RNAcentral's name for it is "HSALNT0369755". Lineage: Eukaryota; Metazoa; Chordata; Mammalia; Primates; Hominidae. The record is from RNAcentral.